Molecule: transfer RNA, 63 nt
Filed under: Deporaus marginatus
Lineage: Eukaryota; Metazoa; Arthropoda; Insecta; Coleoptera; Attelabidae
Description: tRNA-Glu
Rfam family: tRNA
About the family: Transfer RNA (tRNA) molecules are approximately 80 nucleotides in length.
Source: RNAcentral
GUUUAUAUAGUUUAACAAAAACAUUACAUUUUCAUUGUAAAAUUAGAAAUUUUCUUAUAAAUA